This is an RNA transcript of Microtus ochrogaster (prairie vole), 1205 nucleotides long. It is a transcript of the gene named inosine triphosphatase, with no coding region annotated. NCBI's taxonomy places the organism in Eukaryota, Metazoa, Chordata, Mammalia, Rodentia, Cricetidae. The transcript is spliced from 8 exons. The record is from RefSeq and is a predicted model, not a curated record.
CUCAAAGAGCUUCCGGGAAUACUCGGCCGUAACCAGCCCCUGCAAUGGCCUCGUCUUUGGUGGGCAAGAAGAUCGUGUUUGUGACGGGAAACGCAAAGAAGCUGGAGGAGGUCAUUCAGAUUCUAGGAGAUAAGUUUCCGUGCACUUUGGUGGCACAGAAAAUUGACCUGCCUGAGUACCAGGGAGAGCCUGAUGAAAUUUCCAUACAGAAGUGUCGGGAGGCCGCUCGCCAGGUGCAGGGUCCUGUACUGGUGGAGGAUACCUGUCUGUGCUUCAAUGCCCUCGGGGGACUCCCUGGCCCCUACAUAAAAUGGUUCCUUGAGAAGCUAAAGCCUGAAGGUCUCCACCAGCUCUUGGCCGGCUUUGAGGACAAAUCAGCCUAUGCACUUUGUACAUUUGCCCUCAGCACUGGGGACCCAAGCCAGCCAGUCCUCCUGUUCAGGGGCCAGACCGCGGUGCGUACCCACCUGAGCAGCCAGUCCUCCUGUUCAGGGGCCAGACCGCGGGCCAGAUCGUGAUGCCGCGAGGCUCCCGGGACUUUGGCUGGGAUCCCUGCUUUCAGCCCGAUGGAUACGAGCAAACGUAUGCAGAGAUGCCAAAGGCUGAGAAAAACGCCAUUUCUCAUCGGUUCCGGGCCCUGCUCAAGCUACAAGAGUACUUCAGCGUGACUGCUGGGGCUGGUGGCCAGUAAAGCCGUGGGAUGGGGAGGACUAGUGUAGAGUUCCCCAGGAGGCAGGCACUCCUGGCAGGUGUUUCUCUGGGUUUCCCUCUGCCAGGGGAUCCAGGCAGCUUUAGUAGCCAGGUCUGGAGGAGCAGUUUGCUCAGCAUAGGGGAACUCUGGGCCAGUUGUUACUAAACUCUUGCCCUUUGGGAUUCAUGAGUUUCCUUUGGCCUGGCAUAGUGGUGCACACCUUUAGUCCCAGAAUGUGGGAGGCAGACAGAGCUUUGUGAGUUCAAGGCCAGCCUGGUUUAGAUAGUGAGUUCCAGGGCAGCCAGAGCUACAUAGUGAGAUAUUGUCUCAAAAACAAAACAAAAAAAAGUAGAGUUGCUCUUGUAGCCUCUAGGAUCCUGAGAGAACUUUGGGUGUUCACAUUUCUUAGCUGGGUUGAGGGUUGGCAAAGAAAUACACAACCUUUGAUUUUAUAAGGCAGCAAAUGUAAAUUCUGGAAGGCAUGUUUCCAAAAUAAAUGGUGUAUCUGUUUUGA